CAGCCACAUUGGGACUGAGACACGGCCCAAACUCCUACGGGAGGCAGCAGUGGGGAAUAUUGGACAAUGGAGGAAACUCUGAUCCAGCAAUGCCAUGUGUGUGAAGAAGGCCUUAGGGUUGUAAAGCACUUUAGUUGGGGAGGAAGUUAUGUUGGUUAAUAGCUGAUGUAAUUGACGUUACCCGAAGAAUAAGCACCGGCUAACUCCGUGCCAGCAGCCGCGGUAAUACGGGGGGUGCGAGCGUUAAUCGGAAUUACUGGGCGUAAAGGGUCUGUAGGUGGUAUGUUAAGUCAGAUGUGAAAGCCCAGGGCUCAACCUUGGAACUGCAUUUGAUACUGGCAAACUAGAGUAUGGUAGAGGGAUGGGGAAUUUCUGGUGUAGCGGUGAAAUGCGUAGAUAUCAGAAGGAACACCGAUGGCGAAGGCAACAUUCUGGACCAAUACUGACACUGAGGGACGAAAGCGUGGGGAUCAAACAGGAUUAGAUACCCUGGUAGUCCACGCUGUAAACGAUGAGUACUAGCUGUUGGAUUCGGUGUAAAGGAUCUAGUGGCGCAGCUAACGCGUUAAGUACUCCGCCUGGGGACUACGGCCGCAAGGCUAAAACUCAAAGGAAUUGACGGGGACCCGCACAAGCGGUGGAGCAUGUGGUUUAAUUCGAUGCAACGCGAAGAACCUUACCUGGUCUUGACAUCCUAGAAAGGAUCCAGAGAUGGAUUUGUGCCUUAGGGAAUCUAGUGACAGGUGCUGCAUGGCUGUCGUCAGCUCGUGUUGUGAAAUGUUGGGUUAAGUCCCGCAACGAGCGCAACCCCUAUUGAUAGUUA
Molecule: ribosomal RNA, 823 nt
Filed under: uncultured Francisella sp.
Lineage: Bacteria; Pseudomonadati; Pseudomonadota; Gammaproteobacteria; Thiotrichales; Francisellaceae
Description: bacterial SSU rRNA
Rfam family: Bacterial small subunit ribosomal RNA
Source: RNAcentral